GUCUGAAAAUUCUUGUCAUCCCAAAAGAAAUGUCACUGCAUAUGUCAUGCGCUCUUAGAGGCUGGUAGUCAAUGACGGGUAAGAGGAAUACAGGAAAUCACCAACCUAAGACAGAGCAAGAGUACUGUGACACUCUUGACUCCAUGAUGGGUAAGGGAUUUCUUUAUAUUCCUCAUCUAAGACGGUCACAGCCUAUCUGCAUGAUCAAGAGACCUUGAUCAUAAUAUAUAAAACAGGGGGAGAUGUGGAGAGCGGUGUUAGCCAUAGAGGCUCCAUGUUAAAUCUUACCGUCCACUGUAUAAAGCAAGGAGACUAUGUUAUGAGGAACCGCACCCUUGCCAAAUUAGAUGUUUACCUUCAGAAAUUGUCCUGGAACAUGAUGGAUGAAUGUUUUGUAAACCCGAGAAACAAGAAAGCCCAUGAGGGUGGGGAAUUUCCAAAGAAUUAGAGAACAAGGAAGCAGGUAUCUUUGGAUAAGGGUCAUGAUGAAUAACCAAACUCACCUGUGAUAAAAAGGGGAGGAGAAUAAAAAAGCGGCGGCAGUCUCUCUGGGAGCCCUCCCGACUCUAUCUCUGCAUCUUUCUUUUUCUUCAUCCUCACUCCCCCAUUCAGGUGCUGUUCGACAAGUGACGGCUGGCUCUGUCACUUUGCUGUCCAGAAGGUUUUUAAUGUGAUGUGAUCCCAUUUGUUGAUUCUUGAUGUUAUUUCACAGUUGGGGUUCUGUUCAAAGAGUCCUUGUCUAUGUCUUUAAAAGUUUUAUCUAUUUCAUCUCCCAACAGAUUGUUUUUGUUUUAACAGUUAGGUCUUUGAUCCAUUUUGAUUUUAGUUCAGUACAUGGUGAGAUAUAAGGGUCUAGAUUCAAUAUUCCAAAUGUGGAUAACCAUUUUUUAAAAAAGGCUGUCUUUCCUCCCGUUUUUGGCCCCUUUGUCAAAGAUCCAAUAGCUGAGUAUGCCUGAGGUUGUUUCUGCAUCCUCUCUUCUAUUCCACUGAUCCACUGUCUGUUUUUGUGUAAGUACCAUUUUGUGUGAGUACUAUAUUUAUCACUGUAGCUUUGUAAGAUAACUUGAAAGCUGAAAUUAUGAUGCCUCUUGAUUUGCUAUUGUUCCCCAGGAUUGCUUUUGGUAUGUUGGGUCUCUUUUGGUUCCAUAUGAAUUUUAGGAUUCUUUUUUCUAGUCCUUUGAGGAAUGCUGUUGAUAUUUUAAUUGGAAUUACAUUAAAUCUGUAUAUUAGUUUUGGAAA
This is a non-coding RNA of Heterocephalus glaber (naked mole-rat), 1239 nucleotides long. The record is from RefSeq and is a predicted model, not a curated record. NCBI's taxonomy places the organism in Eukaryota, Metazoa, Chordata, Mammalia, Rodentia, Bathyergidae.